This 1037-nucleotide long non-coding RNA is filed under the name Anthonomus grandis grandis. RNAcentral's name for it is "uncharacterized LOC126743522". Lineage: Eukaryota; Metazoa; Arthropoda; Insecta; Coleoptera; Curculionidae. The record is from RNAcentral.
UAAAAGAAUUUUCACGUCGACUGUUCUAUUUUCCAUUUUCAUUUUGAAAGUCAAUUAGGUAAAUGGAAAGAUGAAUAGAAGCUAAAAUUAAGCUAGUAAAAUAAACCAUUGAAAUAAAAUAACCGUCACUUGCUUUAACAACCCCUGCAAUGAAGUUUAUCUACUAAACUUACCCUAUGUCGCCCAAACCCUAAAUUGAAAAAAACAAUUAGAACUAGGUAUAUGAAUUUUGCUGCCAAAAUAUUAAAUUAUAUAAUUUAUCAAACCGACCGUGAAAAAAUAAAUUUUAGUGCGCCCAUGACAUGCCAAGCUCAAACAGCAAUGCUCAAUGACAUCUGAAUUUGACAAGUCAGUUAAAUUCAGAUGUCAAUGUCAACCCAAUAAAACAAUAAUAUAAUUCACCUUGAGAAAUUAUUAUUAUUUUUUAACUAAUAUUUAUUGGAAAACUUCAACACAAAUUAUUUGCUAAAUAAAACUGAUGAAAAUCUCAUAACUUCAUUCAAGUUCGCAUAUAUUUUGCCUGUGUGGCCUUUGUUUUGUGUACCUAGAAUUAUUACAAGGAGAAGAAUUGCAUGUUUUAACUGCUGAUUAGACUACACAACCAGAAAUAAAUAAGCUAAAUGAAGUAUGUUAGGAUACCCCAGAGAUCAUGAAAUGUGUUUGAUAGGGCUCAGACCAUGCACUUAAGGACAUCCGUCAAGAAAUCAUUGAGAUUCUACCAUAUUGAUGAAAUUGGGAAACCAGGAAGAACUGCCUGUCUUUACUGUUGGUUAGAGUACACAGACAGAAAUAAAUAAGCUACAGGAAGUAUGUUAGGAUUCCCCAGAGAUCAUGGAACAUGUUUGAAGGGAUAUGAAUCAGCUUUUUUGUUAUCUUGAAUAGGCAAAAUGGCACGAGAAUCUUCCAACUGGACCCAAAGUCUCUAUUUUUGGUUAGAAAAUAAAACUUAUUUAAUGUUUAUGUUCCAUGACCUGUUUAUUGUUUUAUUAAAUUUUGUCAUACAGUUAUUUAGUUUUAAUAAUUAAAGAGAAAGUUGU